Molecule: ribosomal RNA, 2133 nt
Filed under: Clastoderma debaryanum
Lineage: Eukaryota; Evosea; Eumycetozoa; Echinosteliales; Clastodermataceae
Description: partial 18S ribosomal RNA
Rfam family: Eukaryotic small subunit ribosomal RNA
Source: RNAcentral
GCCAUGCAUGCCUAGAUCCUGAGGCAUCUCUCUAAAUCUGCGAACGGCUCCGAACAACAGUUGCUAUUGCCGCUAGGGUUCCGUGGGACGCCGGCACAUGGGGGCUGGGGCAUUGCGCCCUGGCCCCUCGCCUAAAUCCCGCCAUACGGAUAUCCUUGGUAAUUCUGAGGCUAAUACGUGCGCUCUCCUUAGGGGGGGCCAGGGGGUUGAGGGUCCUUCGGGGCCCGCCCCCCUCGUGCGGUCUAAAGGGCAGGAGGCCCCCAUGGCCCCGUUGAGAGCCCUGGCCUUCGGGCCGGGGCUUGAGGGGAGGGGGGAAUUCUACACCCGUGACUGGAAGCAUGGGCUGACCCGGCCUCGGCUGGGCGCCUAGCAUCUUAGCUUCUGACCCAUCACCCCUGACGCAUGCGUAAGGGGCCUGCAUAGGUGCAACGGGUACAGAGGAUUAGGGUUUGAUCCUGGAGAGUGGGCCUGAGAGAUUGCUCAUACUUCUAAGGAAGGCAGCAGGCGCGUAACGUUCCCAAUGGGCAACAGCCCGAGGGCGUUAAGGGAAAUAUGGGUGCCCCCCAACAGGGGGCAAUCCAAAUGUGGGGGCCUUAAACAAGCCCCUCGAGUAACAACUAGAGGACAAGCCUGGUGCCAGCACCCGCGGUAAUUCCAGCUCUAGUAGCAUACUUUAAAUUUGCUGCAGUUAAAACGCUCGUAGUCGGGGCUAUGGCCCCCUUUUGCAGGUCGCGCUGCGGCUCCCCGCCCCCAAAGCCCCUUCGGGGGUCAGGGGGAGGGAGGGCGGGCGCGUUUAGCCAGUAGGCGGGCUACGGUGGCUGGGGCACCCCGUUUCAUAUGGGGGGCCCUUACUAGGCUGCCUAGCUCGCUGAAAGCACUGCAGGGGGGGCCAGAACGCUUGGGCGGGGGGCUCAAGCAGGCUGGGAUUUAAGGGGGCGGGGCUCUGCCUGGGGAACCAAGGGACCGGCGCGCCGGCGGGAUGGGGGCAACCCCGCCUGCUGCGUGCUGGGCCCUCCCCGGGCAUCGCCGCCCUCCCUGGCCUGCUCCUCCGCUCAUUCGUCCAUGAGUUAACUAGGGGUGAUCGACCCAAGCGUAUUGCUUGCAUAACGCAGCAUGGUAUCGGAGGAGUUUGGGGCCCGCCCCAUUCCCUUCUGCCGUGGGGUUCUUUUGCACCGGGUUGCUUGUUAGCCCAGAGGGGUGUUCGGGGGUGACCGUAUUGCUGGGCGAGGGGUGAAAUCCGUUGACCCUAGCAAGACGAACAAUAGCGAAAGCAGUCACCAAGGGCACGCCCGCUGAUCAAGAGCCAAAGUUGGGGGCGCGAACUCGAUCAGAUACCGAGGUAGUCCCAACUGUAAAUGCUGCCGACCUGAGCUGGGGCCCCUAUAUGUCCCUCUCGACGACCCCUGGAUCCUGGAGAAAUCAGAGUCACUGGGCUCUGGGGGGAGUAUGGUCGCAAGACUGAAACUUAAAGGAAUUGACGGAACGGAACACCAGGAGUGGAGCCUACGGCUUAAUUCGACUCAACACGGGAAAUCUCACCAGGACCGUAUACCCGCAUGAAGGACCGGCUAAAAGACCGUUCUUGAAUAAAGUAGGUGGUGGUGCAUGGCCGUUCUUGGUUCGUAGUGACUGGAUCGUCUGGUUUAUUCCGAUAACGAACGAGACCCCUCAACCCAGGUUGGUGCCCCCGGGACGACCGCUGAGGCCACCCCCGCCCCUCACGGGGAGGGGGGGGCCAUGGCAACCGCUUCUGGGAAGGCAACUAUACCAUCCCCCUGGGGGAUCACGGGUCUAUCUCAACCCGUUGCAAGGGGGCAAUAACAGGUCUGUAUGCCCUUAGAUGUCCUGGGCCGCACGUGCGUUACAUUGGAUCUAUCAACGGGUACGUCCCGCCAAAUGGUGCGGGGUGUCCAAGCCGUCUAGGCGGCAAGGCAAUCCCUGAAUCAGAUGCGCGAACGCUACCUUCCAUCGUUGGGCCAGGGCAUUGUAACUAUUGCCCUCCAACAUGGAAUUUCUAGUAUCCGCGGGUCAUCAGCCCGCGGAGGCUUAGUCCCUUCCGUUUGUACACACCGCCCGUCGCUGCUACCGAUUGAGCUGCCCACUUACGCCUUUCGAGGGGUCUUGCCGGUGGGG